Non-coding RNA from Cricetulus griseus (Chinese hamster), 266 nucleotides. The record is from RefSeq and is a predicted model, not a curated record. Lineage: Eukaryota; Metazoa; Chordata; Mammalia; Rodentia; Cricetidae.
AAGGAGAAGAAGAUGAUGAGGAAGGGGAAGAAGAAGGAGAUGAGGAAAAUUACCCUGACUAUGACCCCAAGAAUGAUCUGAACCCAGCAGAGUGCAAGCAGCAGUGAAGCAGGAUCUCUGUGGCCUUGAGGACGGCCUACCCUGGCCUACCUUCUGCUUUCCUGGAAAGGAUAGAAUUACAUCAUUUGAACCUAUUUUGAGUUUUUCUCUUGUUUGUUUGCCUAAUUUUGUUUUAUAGCCUAAAAUAAAAAUGUCAUACAGUUUUA